RNAcentral lists this ribosomal RNA (509 nucleotides) under uncultured Clostridium sp. Its description in RNAcentral is "SSU rRNA". It matches the Rfam family "Eukaryotic small subunit ribosomal RNA", at positions 595 to 1131 of the family's 1831-position model. Lineage: Bacteria; Bacillati; Bacillota; Clostridia; Eubacteriales; Clostridiaceae. The record is from RNAcentral. RNAcentral also lists the same sequence under 2 other names.
CCGCGUAUUUAGUUGUUGCAGUUAAAAGCUCGUAGUUGAAGUUCUGGCUGUUCGAUCCUCGAGCUCUGUAGCCGAGGACUCGACAGUCAUCCGCUUGCAAAUAUAGUUCGUCUUUAACCGGAUGGCUAUAUGAGUAAGCAAUUUACCUUGAGAAAAACAGAGUGUCCCAGGCAGGUUUGUCCGGAAUGCAUUAGCAUGGAAUAAUAGAAUAUGACUGAAGUCGAUUUAUUGGUUUGAGGCUUUAGUAAUGAUUAAUAGGAACAGUCGGGGGCAUUGGUACUUGACAGUCAGAGGUGAAAUUCUAGGAUUUGUCAAAGACUAACAAAUGCGAAAGCAUUUGCCAAGGAUGUUUUCAUUAAUCAAGAACGAAAGUUAGGGGAUCAAAGACGAUCAGAUACCGUCCUAGUCUUAACUAUAAACUAUACCGACUCGGAUUCAGAUGAAUCAUAAAGUUCAUUUGGGACCGUAGGAGAAAUCAAAGUUUUUGGGUUCUGGGGGAAGUAUGGUCG